This 1202-nucleotide ribosomal RNA is filed under the name uncultured bacterium. RNAcentral describes it as "partial 16S ribosomal RNA". It matches the Rfam family "Bacterial small subunit ribosomal RNA", at positions 194 to 1399 of the family's 1533-position model. The record is from RNAcentral.
CUACGGAUUAAAGUAGCAAUACGCCAAAUGAGUGGCUGAUAUCGGAUUAGUUUGUUGGUGAGGUAAAGGCUUACCAAGACCGUGAUCCGUAGCGGGUCUGAGAGGACGACCCGCCACACUGGGACUGAGACACGGCCCAGACUCCUACGGGAGGCAGCAGUGGGGAAUUUUGGACAAUGGAGGAAACUCUGAUCCAGCAAUACCGCGUGAGUGAAGAAGGCCUUUGGGUUGUAAAGCUCUUUUGUUGAAGAAAAAAUCUCGUGCAAACGAGGAUGAUGGUAUUCAAAGAAAAAGCACCGGCUAACUACGUGCCAGCAGCCGCGGUAAUACGUAGGGUGCGAGCGUUAAUCGGAAUAACUGGGCGUAAAGGGUGAGUAGGCGGUUUAGUAAGAUAGUUGUGAAAUUCCCGCGCUUAACGUGGGGACUGCGGCUAUGACUGCUAAACUAGAAUAGAACAGAGGAAAGUGGAAUUCCACGUGUAGCAGUGAAAUGCGUAGAGAUGUGGAGGAACACCAAUGGCGAAGGCAGCUUUCUGGGUUACUAUUGACGCUCAGUCACGAAAGCGUGGGGAGCAAACAGAGAUUAGAUACUCUGGUAGUCCACGCCCUAAACGAUGUCAACUAAAUGUUGGUAGUGUAAGAGCUAUCAGUAUUGUAGCUAACGCGUGAAGUUGACCGCCUGGGGAGUACGGUCGCAAGAUUAAAACUCAAAGGAAUUGACGGGGACCCGCACAAGCGGUGGAACAUGUGGUUUAAUUCGAUGAUACGCGAGGAACCUUACCCGGGCUUGAAUUGCAGGCGACGGGGCGAGAGAUUGCCCUUUCUUCGGACGCCUGUGAAGGUGCUGCAUGGUUGUCGUCAGCUCGUGCCGUGAGGUGUCGGCUCAAGUGCCAUAACGAGCGCAACCCCUGUCUCCAGUUGCCAUCAGGUGAUACUGGGCACUCUGGAGAUACUGCCAUCGCAAGAUGUGAGGAAGGUGGGGAUGACGUCAAAUCAGCACGGUCCUUACGUCCGGGGCUACACACGUGUUACAAUGGGUGGUACAGAGAGUCGGCCGCUGGCAAUGGCGGUCCAAUCAUCAAAGCCAUCCUCAGUUCGGAUUGGGGUCUGCAACCCGACCCCAUGAAGCUGGAUUCGCUAGUAAUCGCGCAUCAGCCAUGGCGCGGUGAAUACGUUCCCGGGCCUUGCACUCACAGCCCGUCA